AAGCCAGACUCCUACGGGAGGCAGCAGUGGGGAAUAUUGCACAAUGGGGGAAACCCUGAUGCAGCAACGCCGCGUGGGUGAAGGAGCGUUUCGGCGCGUAAAGCCCUGUCAGCAGGGAAGAGAAUGACGGUACCUGAAGAAGAAGCCCCGGCUAACUACGUGCCAGCAGCCGCGGUAAUACGUAGGGGGCAAGCGUUAUCCGGAUUUACUGGGUGUAAAGGGGGCGCAGACGGCGAUGCAAGCCAGGAGUGAAAGCCCGGGGCCCAACCCCGGGACUGCUCUUGGAACUGCGUGGCUGGAGUGCAGGAGGGGCAGGCGGAAUUCCUGGUGUAGCGGUGAAAUGCGUAGAUAUCAGGAGGAACACCGGUGGCGAAGGCGGCCUGCUGGACUGCAACUGACGUUGAGGCCCGAAAGCGUGGGGAGCAAACAGGAUUAGAUACCCGCGUA
This 447-nucleotide ribosomal RNA is filed under the name uncultured bacterium. Its description in RNAcentral is "bacterial SSU rRNA". It matches the Rfam family "Bacterial small subunit ribosomal RNA", at positions 328 to 792 of the family's 1533-position model. The record is from RNAcentral.